RNAcentral lists this ribosomal RNA (205 nucleotides) under uncultured bacterium. RNAcentral describes it as "partial 16S ribosomal RNA". It matches the Rfam family "Bacterial small subunit ribosomal RNA", at positions 524 to 727 of the family's 1533-position model. The record is from RNAcentral.
UACAGAGGGGGCAAGCGUUAUUCGGAAUUAUUGGGCGUAAAGGGCGCGUAGGCGGCUUGGCAAGUGGAUGGUGAAAUCCCUCGGCUUAACCGAGGAACUGCCGUCCAAACUGCUUCGCUUGAGACCGGGAGAGGUGAGUGGAAUUCCCAGUGUAGCGGUGAAAUGCGUAGAUAUUGGGAGGAACACCAGUGGCGAAAGGCGGCUC